AUUGAACGCUGGCGGCAGGCCUAACACAUGCAAUUCGAACGAGUGGCGGACGGGUGAGUAAUGUCUGGGAAACUGCCUGAUGGAGGGGGAUAACUACUGGAAACGGUAGCUAAUACCGCAUACCAUCAGAUGUGCCCAGAUGGGAUUAGCUAGUUGCUGGGGUAACGGCUCACCAAGGCGACGAUCCCUAGCUGGUCUGAGAGGAUGACCAGCCAAACUGGAACUGAGACAAGGUCCAGACUCCUACGGGAGGCAGCAGAGGGGAAGAUUGAACAAUGGGCGCAAACAUGAUGCAGCAGUGCCGCGUGUGUGAAGAAGGCGUUCGGGUUGUAAAGUACUUUCAGCGGGGAGGCGUUACCCGCAGAAGAAGCACCGGCUAACUCCGUGCCAGCAGCCGCGGUGAUUC
This 406-nucleotide ribosomal RNA is filed under the name uncultured bacterium. RNAcentral describes it as "partial 16S ribosomal RNA". It matches the Rfam family "Bacterial small subunit ribosomal RNA", at positions 30 to 526 of the family's 1533-position model. The record is from RNAcentral.